Molecule: unclassified non-coding RNA, 1785 nt
Filed under: Venturia canescens
Lineage: Eukaryota; Metazoa; Arthropoda; Insecta; Hymenoptera; Ichneumonidae
Description: partner of Y14 and mago, transcript variant X1
Source: RNAcentral
CUAUACAAAAUUGUUCGGAGUUCGGAUUGCCCGAAAGGCCCGAAACUACACGGCGUAAUGCCUCGCUAAUAUAAUAAAAUUUUUUAUAAAAUUAUCAAUAAAAUAGUGGACAAUUGGUGUUUCAUCGUCCGACAAUGGCCACAGCUUACGUCAAAGAUGAUCAAGGUGGAACUUUCAUUGCAGCCAGCCAACGUCCUGACGGUACUUGGCGUAAACCACGAAGAGUCAAGGACGGAUAUGUGCCACAAGAAGAGGUUCCUUUAUACGAGAGUUUAGGAAAGCAGUUUUUGAAAAAUAAGCCAACUCAUCCGCCUGGAGUAUCAGCGGAAUACAUAGCAGCGCAAAAAGCGAAAAAAGAGGGGCAAAGUACGAAAACGACGAUACCGGGAAUGCCAGCACAGGUUGAUUCGAAGAAGAAAAAGAAGAAAUCAAAGAGCAAAGGGAAUAAUACGAUAACGGAAGAUUUGGCAAAGACAACGAUAUCCGAGUCUGAAGCCACCAUUAGAACGAAAAAUUCAGUAAAUUCAACACCUAAACCCCAGUCCGUUGUUUCGUGCAGACAAGAUGCAAUGGGCGCCUCGCAUUUAAGUGAAAGCAUGAAGAGACUCAAGAAUUUAAGGAAAAAAAUUCGUGAGAUUGAGACUCUUGAGCAAAAAAUUCGUGACGGGGUGAUUAAAAACCCAGAGAAAGAAAUGCUGGAAAAAGUAUCAAGAAAAUCAGAAAUUCAGGAAGAAAUCAAGUUAUUAGAAUCAAAUCAGUGAUCUCUCUCCCAGAACCGUUAAUAAUUAUUCUGGUACAAACUUUAGAUUGUGCCAUUGUUCGUCUCGCGUUAUUUUUUUUUAUAUUUCAUCGUCGAGCAAAAAUUUCUUCGCAUUUUUUAAAACGAUCCUUUUUUCGAAUUUCGAUACUGCAAUUCCCUGCGAUGAAAAGAAUUAUUUUAUCGAACAUUUGAAUACGAAUAAUGAAUACCUCGAAUUGUACAUUUGGAUGUGAUGAAUAGAGAGGAGAUAGGAGAGAAAAUUAUAUAUAUAUAUAUAUAAUUAUAUAUAUAUACAUAUAUACAUACAUACAUACAUAAAUCAAAAUGCAUUUAUUUUAUUUCUUCGCAAUGAGCACUUUCAUACCCAAUUAGGCAAUAAUCUUGCAGCCAAUGAUAAUUGUAACAGGAAAAUCCGAAAACUUUUAUGCUAAGCAGACGAGCAUGGGAAAUUUUAAAAAAUCAAUGCAACACUUUUUCAAUAGAAAUGUUUUUUUUUUUACAAUUCGCAUUUUCAUCGAAUUGGAAGAAUGUACGCGAAAACAAGUGAAAAUCACUUCCGUGUUAAAUGUCAGGAGAGCUUAUUUUUCCGAUGAUUUUUUAAGAUAUUUUGAAUCAUCGAUUGAUUGAAUUUCUGUCACCACUCAUUCACCAAAUAUUGUCAUCAAUGAUUGGGUGCUGUUGUGUAAAACUCUACAUUAUAAUAUUGUUAUGUAUUGCAGCCGUUAUACCAGCUGCAAUAAUUCUCUUUUAUAACCCGCAAUUAUUGGGAAUCAACGAGGAAGACAGCGAGCCUAUCGGCAAAGUUUAAUUUGAAAGGUUCAAGCGUAAUUGAUAUGGAAACAUCUCGUCACGGUAAACUCAAAAACGACCCAUUUUGCUUUGCGACGAGCUCGAGAAUGUCGGUACCAAGAAUGUUCAUCAGUCGCAAGAAAAUAAAACGUCGUAAUUUACAAACAAGAAGUUCAAUAUUUUAAGAUUCAAUUUUUAUAACGAUAUUUGUCAAUAAACUUGGGGUAACAAAGGAA